UCUGGAGUGGUGCUACGCGCAGCAUGAGGUGGACAAACUGUUGGAAGUUGAGCCCUUCCGGUGUACAGCAUGUUCACCACAAAUGCAUGCUGUAUCAGUGGAUGGAAAUAGAAAAUUAUACCGAUUUAAGAAUGCAUCAGGAAGUGCCACAAAGGGACUUUUUGAUGGCACCUUCCUGGCCAGAGAUGAGGAGGUGUCAAGUUUUGUUGCUCAAAUCCAGCAGGCAACCAAACAUACUCCUGGGAAAGGAAUGUGCGGAUCAUCACAAUGGACAGCUGCAAAAGAGCAUUCUGGGAAAUCUGCCUCAAAAAUUGAUGAGGAGGGGCUGGAAAUCGCUGUGUGCCGGCAUGGGGUGCUUUUGAGAGCACUGAAUAUGUUCAGAGGGGAGAUUUAUGCUUACCCUCUGUAUCUGCAGAAGGAACUGUCCCCCUCAAAUGUUUCCUUUUUCUGUUCAGAUGUGGCAUGCAAGUAUUAUCCGUAUUUGGAAAAGGUCUCCAAUAAGUGCUCUGAACUGCAGGGACUAUUGGAGAUGCAUCCACUUCUUUCAGUGAUGCAUGCCAAAGCACACUCCUGGACAUGUGAGUUGAAAUGGGGUGGACGCAAUCAAGAAGGCGCUGGCAAUACCAUUGGUGAGGAAGUGGAGCAGGUAAAGAUAAUUUAAAGCACUAUGUAGCUGUUGAAGUGUAGAGGUUGUAAUGAGACUUGAUAGUUCGAGCAUGAUAAUGAAAAAUUACUGACAUUUAUAUCUAUGUUAGGUAAAUAGCUUCCUGUCCAGGG
This is a long non-coding RNA of Pygocentrus nattereri (red-bellied piranha), 777 nucleotides long. The record is from Ensembl. Lineage: Eukaryota; Metazoa; Chordata; Actinopteri; Characiformes; Serrasalmidae.